Molecule: long non-coding RNA, 748 nt
Filed under: Fukomys damarensis (Damara mole-rat)
Lineage: Eukaryota; Metazoa; Chordata; Mammalia; Rodentia; Bathyergidae
Description: lncRNA (ENSFDAG00000029530.1)
Source: RNAcentral
CUCCCCUACAAACCUGCAAAGUGCUACAUCAUUUCGAAUGUGCUCCUGCUAAUGUCUGCCCUGAAAGGUCUGAGGUACCAUGCCUGCUGCAGCCUCAGUGCCAAGGAUGUUUAUGGCCCUCAUCUUCAGGUUCCUGGGGGAGAUAUAAUACUCUCGCAACUUGAAAGAGACUAACUACUCUGUGGGAGUGCUUUUCUGUCUAAUCUCUGACCAGGAACACAUCAAAAGGAAAAGAGCCCUGAGGUUUGCUGACAACAAAGCCAAUGAAAGGCAAAUACCCAGAACUGGCCUGUGGAGUUGUUUGAGUUUCAUGUUUAAAGGCUACAGUGGUAAGAGAAGAAAAAAUAAUCAAAAGCAAAAGGAAAGGCAAAUGGAUAUAAGCCUACAUUUAAAAUGAUGCAUGAGAAUUGAAGAAGACUCAAGAAGGCCGAGGAAGAGCCCUCCUAAGCCUCCUACCACCUCCCUCCAGUCCAAGGUUCCUUUUGUCCCUGGCUUUCUCUGCUACGAGAAGAUGUAUGAGUAUUGUUCCCAUCAUUCUCACCAAUACAGCAUCAGUGACAGAGGAUGCCUUGGGCCAGCUGUGGCUGCUUCCAGCGACAGUGACCUCACUACUCGCAGUUUUUGCUGGAGCAUCUGCAUUUUUUUUCUGUACCUCUCCCCGAGACAUGAGCAUUGUGUGACUCCACUGUAAACUGACAAUAAAAGAGACGAAUUAGCCUAACUGACUGUUUCAGUUAUGAAGAUUAAA